RNAcentral lists this ribosomal RNA (468 nucleotides) under uncultured bacterium. Its description in RNAcentral is "partial 16S ribosomal RNA". It matches the Rfam family "Bacterial small subunit ribosomal RNA", at positions 28 to 507 of the family's 1533-position model. The record is from RNAcentral.
GACGAACGCUGGCGGCGUGCUUAACACAUGCAAGUCGAACGGAAAGGCCCUGCUUUUGUGGGGUGCUCGAGUGGCGAACGGGUGAGUAACACGUGAGUAACCUGCCCUUGACUUUGGGAUAACUUCAUGAAACUGGGGCUAAUACCGGAUAGGAGCUCCUGCUGCAUGGUGGGGGUUGGAAAGUUUCGGCGGUUGGGGAUGGACUCGCGGCUUAUCAGCUUGUUGGUGGGGUAGUGGCUUACCAAGGCUUUGACGGGUAGCCGGCCUGAGAGGGUGACCGGACACAUUGGGACUGAGAUACGGCACAGACUACUACGGGAGGCAGCAGUGGGGAAUAUUGCACAAUGGGCGGAAGCCUGAUGCAGCAACGCCGCGUGCGGGAUGACAGCCUUCGGGUUGUAAACCGAUUUCGCCUGUGACGAAGCGUGAGUGACGGUAAUGGGUAAAGAAGCACCGGCUAACUACGUG